CGGAGGAUCCAAGCGUUAUCCGGAUUUAUUGGGUUUAAAGGGUGCGUAGGCGGCCUAUUAAGUCAGGGGUGAAAGACGGUAGCUUAACUAUCGCAGUGCCCUUGAUACUGAUGGGCUUGAAUAUACUUGAGGUAGGCGGAAUGUGACAAGUAGCGGUGAAAUGCAUAGAUAUGUCACAGAACACCAAUUGCGAAGGCAGCUUACUAAGGUAUGAUUGACGCUGAGGCACGAAAGCGUGGGGAUCAAACAGGAUUAGAUACCCUGGUAGUCCACGCCCUAAACGAUGAACACUCGAUGUUGGCGAUAUACGGUCAGCGUCAAAGCGAAAGCGUUAAGUGUUCCACCUGGGGAGUACGCCCGCAAGGGUG
Molecule: ribosomal RNA, 368 nt
Filed under: uncultured organism
Description: bacterial SSU rRNA
Rfam family: Bacterial small subunit ribosomal RNA
Source: RNAcentral